This 747-nucleotide long non-coding RNA is filed under the name Physcomitrium patens. Its description in RNAcentral is "long non-coding RNA (PPAT_LNC007046)". Lineage: Eukaryota; Viridiplantae; Streptophyta; Bryopsida; Funariales; Funariaceae. The record is from RNAcentral.
UUGGAAUGAGGCUUUUUACUGUGUUAUGAUAUCUCCAAAUCCAAUGUUCAUUGCAUGAACUAUCAAUAGACAUUCCACCAUUUGUUUUUUUCCUUCUUCCUCCUUUCUUUCCUUUCCGAAAGGGUGGCAAAGCAAGUGAUUGCGUCAAUAUCCUCCAUCAUCCACAAAUUUGCCAUAAAGAUGGCGAUGUUGUGAAUGAGCAUGAAAGCAUUGGUUUCCUUUUGUGCAAAAAGAUGGCUUGGUAACACAAUCCAUAUUUAAUGUUGCAAGGGAAAGUGGACAUUGCUGUCUCUCUUAUAUUCUCACAAUCUCUGACAGGCAUAGUUAUGAUUUGAUUGGUCCACCACUACAGAAAACAGUCAUUGGCUUGCACUUUGUGUUUGUGAUGUUUGGCAGCCAUCCAUGGCUUUACGUUUAAUUCUCCUUUUUUGGCUCACUUUGGUCUUGUUACUUUUUUCAUUCACUUUAUUUUUGUUACUUUUGGGAACUGAAAAGGCAUUGGGAAGAUCGGGGUGUACUUUUCUGCUGACCAAUGGGAGGGCCCUGAACUUUGGAGUCUUUUUGGCUGAAUUUGUCCAGUUGAAAGCCACAUGGAUUUUUGCAAUGCUUUUGGAACACACCCACUUUUUUGUUGCUGUCCAAAAGAUUUUUGGAGGACUGACAUGGAAGUGUGUGAAUCAUGAACCCAAAGUCUCCAAGGAAAUCAUCAAAGGAUAAAGGCUAGCCUCCACAACAUUCUCACCCCCC